AAACUGCAAUGUGUUGCAAAUAGGACAAGCAUCCAAUUUCUCAUAUUCCUCGCCGCGAUAAAGGAUACAAUCAUUAGUACAUGCGUGUAUCUUCUAUACAUCCAAUCCUAGAGGGCAAACAACCUUUUUUGCUUCAUAUGUGGUUGAGGGAAGUUCAUUACCCUUAGGAAGUAUGUUCUUUACGAUUUUCAAUAGCUCUCUAAAUCCCUAUCGGUCACACCAUUUGCUGCCUUCCACUGCAUCAAUUCCAUUGUGCUACCCGAGUUUUUGUGACCCUGUUUGCAAUCGAGGUACAACAACUUUUUAUGAUCCUCCAAC
This 318-nucleotide long non-coding RNA is filed under the name Setaria italica (foxtail millet). Its description in RNAcentral is "long non-coding RNA (SITA_LNC002356)". Lineage: Eukaryota; Viridiplantae; Streptophyta; Magnoliopsida; Poales; Poaceae. The record is from RNAcentral.